GAUGAACGCUGGCGGCGUGCUUAACACAUGCAAGUCGAACGGUGAAGCAGGAGCUUGCUCUUGUGGAUCAGUGGCGAACGGGUGAGUAACACGUGAGCAACCUGCCCCUGACUCUGGGAUAAGCGCUGGAAACGGCGUCUAAUACUGGAUAUGUGAUGUGACCGCAUGGUCUGCAUCUGGAAAGAAUUUCGGUUGGGGAUGGGCUCGCGGCCUAUCAGCUUGUUGGUGAGGUAAUGGCUCACCAAGGCGUCGACGGGCAGCCGGCCUGAGAGGGUGACCGGACACACUGGAACUGAGACACGGUCCAGACUCCUACGGGAGGUAGCAGUGGGGAAUUUUGCGCAAUGGACGAAAGUCUGACGCAGCAACGCCGCGUGGGUGAUGAAGGUCUUCGGAUUGUAAAACCCUGUCGUCAGGGACGAAGGUUGGGGCCUUAAUACGGUUUCAACUUGACGGUACCUGGAGAGGAAGCCCCGGCUAACUC
This 484-nucleotide ribosomal RNA is filed under the name uncultured bacterium. RNAcentral's name for it is "partial 16S ribosomal RNA". It matches the Rfam family "Bacterial small subunit ribosomal RNA", at positions 28 to 503 of the family's 1533-position model. The record is from RNAcentral.